CGCAGGCCCCGCCCAUGGCGGCACGCAGGCCCCGCCCCCGCCGCCAUCUUCGCUCAGGCUGCUCUGCUGGCGGGGCGUCCCCUUGCGAGGCUGUCCCUGCUCCUGCUGUCUCUAAGGAGAGUGAUGCUACAGACCAAUGUGAGGGAUGCCACAGACCAAGGUGGGAGCUGCUUGUAUUUCUUGCUACUAUGUUGUCAGUGAUUCCAGGCACAGAGGAGGCAGCUGUACUGACUGGUAUCCUCAAACAGUGGUCAAGAUAUAACAAAAAUAAGGUAGAUAAAUGUGAACAGUUUUUUGAUCAUGUGUCUGUGACAGCAUGCACUCAGUUAUUUUUUAUUUAUUUGUUUAUUUUUUUGAUUUUGACUCAUCAGAGCCCAUUUUUAUUUAUUU
Molecule: non-coding RNA, 390 nt
Organism: Sus scrofa (pig)
Lineage: Eukaryota; Metazoa; Chordata; Mammalia; Artiodactyla; Suidae
Source: RefSeq, a predicted model, not a curated record